AGAGGGUGCAAGCGUUAAUCGGAAUUACUGGGCGUAAAGCGUGCGUAGGCGGUUUUUUAAGUCCGUUGUGAAAGCCCUGGGCUCAACCUGGGAAUGGCAGUGGAUACUGGAAAGCUAGAGUACGGUAGAGGAUGGUGGAAUUCCCGGUGUAGCGGUGAAAUGCGUAGAGAUCGGGAGGAACAUCAGUGGCGAAGGCGGCCAUCUGGACCAGUACUGACGCUGAGGCACGAAAGCGUGGGGAGCAGACAGGAUUAGAUACCCUGGUAGUCCACGCCCUAAACGAUGCGAACUGGACGUUGGGCUCAACUCGGAGCUCAGUGUCGAAGCUAACGCGUUAAGUUCGCCGCCUGGGGAGUACGCUCGCAAGAGUG
This 371-nucleotide ribosomal RNA is filed under the name uncultured bacterium. RNAcentral describes it as "bacterial SSU rRNA". It matches the Rfam family "Bacterial small subunit ribosomal RNA", at positions 527 to 896 of the family's 1533-position model. The record is from RNAcentral.